UGUGACAAACACAACCAAACCGACGAUAUUGAAAUCAUAGUAGUGCGUUAUAAAUUAUGACACUAGAGAGACGGGCUGGAUGUCAAAUCCUACUAUAUAUAAAGAUGAAUUAAGAUCGGCCAUUUGGAUUAUGGAUGGAACAUGGCGCAGGUUUGCUGACACACCACUCGUACCACACAUUUUUUAAUGUACACCUUCGCCAAAAGUGUGCCUCGACCACAUCACCAGCAUUCAGUAGAACGGCUUCCUGGAAAAUUUAUAUGG
Neodiprion virginianus is the source of this 264-nucleotide long non-coding RNA. RefSeq lists it as uncharacterized. The record is from RefSeq and is a predicted model, not a curated record. NCBI's taxonomy places the organism in Eukaryota, Metazoa, Arthropoda, Insecta, Hymenoptera, Diprionidae. The transcript is spliced from 2 exons.